CCCCCCCCCCCCCCGUUCUCUUCUCUUUUCCUUUCUCUCUUCUCUUCUCCCUUCCGUUUUCUUCCCGUCGCAGCCCAGCCGCAACCGCCGCCGAUCCCUUCUCCCUUCUCUUCCGUUCGCAGCAGCCGUCGGCCGCCGCGUCUCCCCUACUGAAGCCGAGCGCCGCGACCCUUCUCCUCUUCUCUUCCGUUCGCAGCAGCCGUCGGCCGCCGCGUGACCGCUGCCCAGUCCAGAUCUGCGUCCCAGCCGCAGCCCAGCCGCCCCACCCGUCUUCUUCUCCUUUCCGUUCGCAGCAACCGGUUCCAUUCCGUUCUCCAUCUCCGUUCGCGAAGCAGUCCGCCGCAGCCCAAGCCCAGAUCUGCAGACCGCGCCGUUGCUCUUCCGCCGCUGCCCAGCCGUCUCCGCCGGUUCUGUCUCCGUCGAAGCCAAGGCCGCCGCGUGAACCAGUAACCGCCACGCUCCCCGCUCACAACCGCCGCUCCACCUGCGAUCGACGUCGGCCGACUAGUUGCUGUAACCGUUCAGAUUUGCUGUCUGUUCGCGACGGUUUCCAUCCGUGAAGCCCAGCCGCCACGUUCCCUUUGGCCGACCGCUGACCGACCCACACUUAGGAUUUUGCUGCGAGUUUGACAGUCGUGCGUUGAGGUGUUGGGAGUAACGUUAGGCUCCCUUACAUUCACAACCAGAUUGUGAAUUGUUGAAGGUUUACGUUGAGGAAAAUAAGUCGGAUAUGUAUCGUGAAAGUAAUUGAAUUUUGUGUUUAGUGAUUAAGGAGCUUCCCUAACUUUGAGGCAAAGGUAAUAAAGGCGGCAAACCGACAAGAGGCGGGAAGGAAGCGUGACUGCCAUAGCAAACGUGUUUUUGCUUCCGCUUAUGGGUUCUUGUGAGGUUUAAGAUAAAUUGAAAUUUUGCUUACAAACGUUUGUUGUAAAUAGUAUUGUUUUUAUGUUUUCUUAAAUGUUUGAAAUUCAGGUCUGACUUAAAUAUGUUUUGAACUAGUUUAUGUUUCAUUUUAUAUUAAUCAGAGUCUUUUAUUUGUUAAAAA
Molecule: long non-coding RNA, 1045 nt
Organism: Cucumis sativus (cucumber)
Lineage: Eukaryota; Viridiplantae; Streptophyta; Magnoliopsida; Cucurbitales; Cucurbitaceae
Exons: 2
Source: RefSeq, a predicted model, not a curated record